RNAcentral lists this ribosomal RNA (250 nucleotides) under uncultured prokaryote. RNAcentral's name for it is "partial 16S ribosomal RNA". It matches the Rfam family "Bacterial small subunit ribosomal RNA", at positions 524 to 773 of the family's 1533-position model. The record is from RNAcentral.
UACAGAGGUCGCAAGCGUUGUUCGGAUUUAUUGGGUGUAAAGGGUGCGUAGACGGCAAUGCAAGUUGGUUGUGAAGUCCCUCGGCUCAACUGAGGAACUGCAACCAAAACUGUAUAGCUUGAGUGCGGGAGAGGAAAGCGGAAUUCCUAGUGUAGCGGUGAAAUGCGUAGAUAUUAGGAGGAACACCAGUGGCGAAGGCGGCUUUCUGGACCGUAACUGACGUUGAGGCACGAAAGUGUGGGGAGCAAAC